UCAAAUAGUAGGCAAAUCUAUUGAAAAAUAGAGACGCAAAGCCACGGGUCUAAAGCAGGCCUUUCUGCCUGUCAUGACGGCCGGGUUGCAGAA
This 93-nucleotide non-coding RNA is filed under the name Desulfosporosinus orientis. RNAcentral's name for it is "c-di-GMP sequence". It matches the Rfam family "c-di-GMP-I riboswitch aptamer". Rfam says of the family: GEMM was predicted in a large-scale screen for bacterial structured RNA regulatory elements. Genes associated with GEMM are involved in a diverse array of functions, including chemotaxis regulation, signal transduction, secretion and chitin. RNAcentral also lists the same sequence under 1 other name. The record is from RNAcentral. Lineage: Bacteria; Bacillati; Bacillota; Clostridia; Eubacteriales; Desulfitobacteriaceae.